RNAcentral lists this ribosomal RNA (400 nucleotides) under uncultured bacterium. Its description in RNAcentral is "bacterial SSU rRNA". It matches the Rfam family "Bacterial small subunit ribosomal RNA", at positions 975 to 1375 of the family's 1533-position model. The record is from RNAcentral.
CAGGACUUGACAUCCAAAGAAUCCACAAGAGAUUGAGGAGUGCCCUUCGGGGAACUUUGAGACAGGUGGUGCAUGGUUGUCGUCAGCUCGUGUCGUGAGAUGUUGGGUUAAGUCCCGCAACGAGCGCAACCCUUGUCGUUAGUUGCUACCAUUAAGUUGAGCACUCUAGCGAGACUGCCGGGGUUAACUCGGAGGAAGGUGGGGAUGACGUCAAAUCAUCAUGCCCCUUAUGUCCUGGGCUACACACGUGCUACAAUGGCCGGUACAAAGAGAAGCAAGACCGCGAGGAGGAGCAAAUCUCAAAAACCGGUCCCAGUUCGGAUUGCAGGCUGCAACUCGCCUGCAUGAAGCUGGAGUUGCUAGUAAUCGUGAAUCAGAAUGUCACGGUGAAUGCGUUCCC